UACGAAGGGGGCUAGCGUUGCUCGGAAUCACUGGGCGUAAAGGGUGCGUAGGCGGGUCUUUAAGUCAGGGGUGAAAUCCUGGAGCUCAACUCCAGAACUGCCUUUGAUACUGAGGAUCUUGAGUUCGGGAGAGGUGAGUGGAACUGCGAGUGUAGAGGUGAAAUUCGUAGAUAUUCGCAAGAACACCAGUGGCGAAGGCGGCUUCCUGGUCCAGCACCGACGUUCAGGCACGAAAGCGUGGGGAGCAAACAG
RNAcentral lists this ribosomal RNA (252 nucleotides) under uncultured bacterium. RNAcentral describes it as "partial 16S ribosomal RNA". It matches the Rfam family "Bacterial small subunit ribosomal RNA", at positions 524 to 775 of the family's 1533-position model. The record is from RNAcentral.